This 950-nucleotide long non-coding RNA is filed under the name Homo sapiens (human). RNAcentral's name for it is "non-protein coding lnc-ARGFX-1:1". The record is from RNAcentral. Lineage: Eukaryota; Metazoa; Chordata; Mammalia; Primates; Hominidae.
UUGUCUCUGCAACAGUUUUUCCUAGAGCCAAUCACGUGUCAUGCCUGGAACAGGGAUCAUACCCAAAUUGCCCUUGGCCUGAAUAAUCACAAAAUCCACAUCUGUAAGAAGAAUGGGAGCCAAUAGCAAAACCUCAUAAACUCCAGAAGCACAAUCACAGGUACUGACUGGGCUCCCAAGCAUGACCACAUUAUCAUUUGCAUGAGUCAGAAAGAUGGUGUCUGGAAGCUAACCCUGGUGAUCCUGAGAAUUGAUCAUGCAACUACUUUUGUGAAGUGGUCCCUCCUAGAGAACAAAAUUGUUGUAGGUAGUGGAGCAUCGCUUUUUAUGUGUGUGUGAAAAUGAAUAGUGGAUAAGCAAGUUAAUUUAAAGGCCAAUUAAUUUCAUUGUCCUUUGGAUUGGCAUUCCAACAAUGUUUUGCUAGUAGCAGGUUCAUGUGACUUCAAAUGAAGAGUGUUUCUGCAUACAUUAAUGUUUGAAAACCCAACCAGUAUGCCAUGGGACAGCAAGAUGCCUUUUGAUUAGCUGAUGUCAUAGCUUGGUGCCACUGGAGACUGGGUCCCAGGUUCAAUUUGUCUAUGGGAGCUCUCUGGCCUGGAUGAGCUAUGAUAGCAACAUGUUCUUUACUGAUGCUUCAGAGUGCAGAUUUCAACUCUGAAAGAAGUUGCUGCCUGUCAUGAAUAUAUCAUUUGUCUUGGAGAAUAACAUUGUUGUAGCCACUGGCCAAGACUGCUGCUGAAGGCUCUGUAACUAUGAUGGUGAUGGAUACUUGAUCUUAGUCUCCAAACUAGAUAUUCCAAAAUAGAGCAUGCAGCAUAAAAUGUCAGCCAUGGAACACUUCCACACGCAUACAAAAGAGCCACAACCACAGACAGCAAUAUAGCUACAGAGAAGCUGCUUCAUAACAUCAUCACUCAAAUACCUAUUUAUGAAGUGGAAAAGCAAUAUUU